Molecule: small RNA, 428 nt
Filed under: Pan troglodytes (chimpanzee)
Lineage: Eukaryota; Metazoa; Chordata; Mammalia; Primates; Hominidae
Description: processed transcript
Source: RNAcentral
CUCAAAGACAAAGCAGUUGAGUCUUAUUUUUACUCCAGUGUUCUUUUUGCCUAUAAUUGAAUAUCCUUUUAAGAAUUGAUUUUGAUGAAGGCUGUGUCAUUGAACAGAAGAUGAAAGGCAGAACUGAGAAGUCUCAUUGGCUGUGGAAGAGUUGGAGAAAGGGGCAGCUGUUGAAAGGUUGGGAUCUGAAAAGGAAAGCAGCUCAAGCCUUGGAGGCACUCCUACUUGGAGUAUGACUUCUGGCAACUUUCUAAAUGCUCUGAGCCUCGGUUUAUAUAUUCAUAAACUGCAAAUAAUAACACCUACCUCAAAUGGGCUCUGUGAGGAUUGUCAAGGCCAUUACGUGACAGCUGACUAUCCAUAAUGAAAGGAAAGUGACCUGCAAACAUCCAGUCACAGGACAACCAUCACAGGACAAUUGUAUUUUU